CUAAGCGUACACGGUGGAUGCCCUGGCAGUCAGAGGCGAUGAAGGGCGUGCUAAUCUGCGAUAAGCGCCGGUAAGGUGAUAUGAACCGUUAUAACCGGCGAUACCCGAAUGGGGAAACCCAGUGUGAUUCGUCACACUAUCAUUAACUGAAUCCAUAGGUUAAUGAGGCGAACCGGGGGAACUGAAACAUCUAAGUACCCCGAGGAAAAGAAAUCAACCGAGAUUCCCCCAGUAGCGGCGAGCGAACGGGGAGGAGCCCAGAGCCUGAAUCAGCAUGUGUGUUAGUGGAAGCGUCUGGAAAGGCGCGCGAUACAGGGUGACAGCCCCGUACACAAAAGCGCAUGUGCUGUGAGCUCGAUGAGUAGGGCGGGACACGUGGUAUCCUGUCUGAAUAUGGGGGGACCAUCCUCCAAGGCUAAAUACUCCUGACUGACCGAUAGUGAACCAGUACCGUGAGGGAAAGGCGAAAAGAACCCCGGCGAGGGGAGUGAAAAAGAACCUGAAACCGUGUACGUACAAGCAGUGGGAGCCCCACCACUAAGCCAGUGGUGAACUCCACAUCCGCAUCCUUUGCUGAGGAUACGGUUAACGGAGCGAAAGCGACGUUCAACCGCAAAACAAGCAGAGGGGGCUUAGUGGUGGGGUGACUGCGUACCUUUUGUAUAAUGGGUCAGCGACUUAUAUUCUGUAGCAAGGUUAACCGAAUAGGGGAGCCGGAGGGAAACCGAGUCUUAAUUGGGCGUUAAGUUGCAGGGUAUAGACCCGAAACCCGGUGAUCUAGCCAUGGGCAGGUUGAAGGUUGGGUAACACUAACUGGAGGACCGAACCGACUAAUGUUGAAAAAUUAGCGGAUGACCUGUGGCUGGGGGUGAAAGGCCAAUCAAACCGGGAGAUAGCUGGUUCUCCCCGAAAGCUAUUUAGGUAGCGCCUCGUGAAUUCAUCUCCGGGGGUAGAGCACUGUUUCGGCUAGGGGGCCAUCCCGGCUUACCAACCCGAUGCAAACUGCGAAUACCGGAGAAUGUUAUCACGGGAGACACACGGCGGGUGCUAACGUCCGUCGUGAAGAGGGAAACAACCCAGACCGCCAGCUAAGGUCCCAAAGUCAUGGUUAAGUGGGAAACGAUGUGGGAAGGCCCAGACAGCCAGGAUGUUGGCUUAGAAGCAGCCAUCAUUUAAAGAAAGCGUAAUAGCUCACUGGUCGAGUCGGCCUGCGCGGAAGAUGUAACGGGGCUAAACCAUGCACCGAAGCUGCGGCAGCGAACGUAUCACCCAAGACAACUUUACGGAGUUGACGAUUGACGGAGCGAAGCGACGUCAAAGCGUUCAUUAAAGUCGAGUUGGCUUAGGGAUACGUUCGUUGGGUAGGGGAGCGUUCUGUAAGCCUGUGAAGGUGUGUCGUGAGGCAUGCUGGAGGUAUCAGAAGUGCGAAUGCUGACAUAAGUAACGAUAAAGCGGGUGAAAAGCCCGCUCGCCGGAAGACCAAGGGUUCCUGUCCAACGUUAAUCGGGGCAGGGUGAGUCGACCCCUAAGGCGAGGCCGAAAGGCGUAGUCGAUGGGAAACGGGUUAAUAUUCCCGUACUUGGUGUUACUGCGAAGGGGGGACGGAGAAGGCUAUGUUGGCCGGGCGACGGUUGUCCCGGUUUAAGCGUGUAGGUGUGUGUUCCAGGUAAAUCCGGUUCACUUUAACACUGAGGCGUGACGACGAGGCACUACGGUGCUGAAGCAACAAAUGCCCUGCUUCCAGGAAAAGCCUCUAAGCAUCAGGUAACAUCAAAUCGUACCCCAAACCGACACAGGUGGUCAGGUAGAGAAUACCAAGGCGCUUGAGAGAACUCGGGUGAAGGAACUAGGCAAAAUGGUGCCGUAACUUCGGGAGAAGGCACGCUGACACGUAGGUGAAGUGAUUUACUCAUGGAGCUGAAGUCAGUCGAAGAUACCAGCUGGCUGCAACUGUUUAUUAAAAACACAGCACUGUGCAAACACGAAAGUGGACGUAUACGGUGUGACGCCUGCCCGGUGCCGGAAGGUUAAUUGAUGGGGUCAGCGCAAGCGAAGCUCCUGAUCGAAGCCCCGGUAAACGGCGGCCGUAACUAUAACGGUCCUAAGGUAGCGAAAUUCCUUGUCGGGUAAGUUCCGACCUGCACGAAUGGCGUAAUGAUGGCCAGGCUGUCUCCACCCGAGACUCAGUGAAAUUGAACUCGCUGUGAAGAUGCAGUGUACCCGCGGCAAGACGGAAAGACCCCGUGAACCUUUACUAUAGCUUGACACUGAACAUUGAGCCUUGAUGUGUAGGAUAGGUGGGAGGCUUUGAAGUGUGGACGCCAGUCUGCAUGGAGCCGACCUUGAAAUACCACCCUUUAAUGUUUGAUGUUCUAACGUGGACCCGUUACCCGGGUUGCGGACAGUGUCUGGUGGGUAGUUUGACUGGGGCGGUCUCCUCCUAAAGAGUAACGGAGGAGCACGAAGGUUGGCUAAUCCUGGUCGGACAUCAGGAGGUUAGUGCAAUGGCAUAAGCCAGCUUGACUGCGAGCGUGACGGCGCGAGCAGGUGCGAAAGCAGGUCAUAGUGAUCCGGUGGUUCUGAAUGGAAGGGCCAUCGCUCAACGGAUAAAAGGUACUCCGGGGAUAACAGGCUGAUACCGCCCAAGAGUUCAUAUCGACGGCGGUGUUUGGCACCUCGAUGUCGGCUCAUCACAUCCUGGGGCUGAAGUAGGUCCCAAGGGUAUGGCUGUUCGCCAUUUAAAGUGGUACGCGAGCUGGGUUUAGAACGUCGUGAGACAGUUCGGUCCCUAUCUGCCGUGGGAGCUGGAGAACUGAGGGGGGCUGCUCCUAGUACGAGAGGACCGGAGUGGACGCAUCACUGGUGUUCGGGUUGUCAUGCCAAUGGCACUGCCCGGUAGCUAAAUGCGGAAGAGAUAAGUGCUGAAAGCAUCUAAGCACGAAACUUGCCCCGAGAUGAGUUCUCCCUGAGACUUAGAGUCUCCUGAAGGAACGUUGAAGACGACGACGUUGAUAGGCCGGGUGUGUAAGCGCAGCGAUGCGUUGAGCUAACCGGUACUAAUGAACCGUGAGGCUUAACCUUACAACGCCGAAG
Molecule: ribosomal RNA, 3093 nt
Filed under: Salmonella enterica subsp. enterica serovar Typhimurium str. D23580
Lineage: Bacteria; Pseudomonadati; Pseudomonadota; Gammaproteobacteria; Enterobacterales; Enterobacteriaceae
Description: bacterial LSU rRNA
Rfam family: Bacterial large subunit ribosomal RNA
Source: RNAcentral